AAAUAGAAUUUUUGAAAGGGCCAUCGACAAAACAAUUGAAUUUCCUAAUAUAGUCUUGUAGACCAAUAAUCUGUCCAAAUGGGGACCCCUCGCCUCCCCCUAAAAAUUUAUAAUGGAAUCCCCUCCUCUGCAACCUCUCCACUACCCUACAGAACCCUCCAUCGCGAACGACGGCGCCACCGCCUAUUCAGUGCCGGAAAUUCGUUCUGACCCAUCAAGCUUGCGUUUGAUCAACGGCACAAAAUCCGAAAGGAAAAAUAACAAGGAAAAGAAAACCCUAGUUACAGAACUCUCAUCACCACCAUCAUCAGUAUCAUCAUCAAAUAAUUGUUCUUGUUCAAGUUCGAAGAAAAAGGGUCUCAAGAUUUUGAAGAAUUCUAAAAAAAUUCGAGUUGGGUCGACCAUGGACAGGAGAAGUACGAGUUCCACUCCCCACAAAAGAUAAUGUAACCCUCGACCAUGCUCCAAUGUAGUCCUUAAUUUUGUUGAUAAGUGAAUCAUAAGAGCUGAUUUUAAGUUUUUCCGUCGCAAGUGAGAUACCGAAGUAACGGAAAGGCAUAAAUCCUUUCUGUAAGUUUGUUGAACAUCCUCCAACUCUUGUCUAUAGACACCCGCCGUGUCCAAGUUAUAGACUUGUUAACAUUCAUCUUUAAUCCGGACAUUUCUCCGAAGUUUGGAUAAACACUCCAUUAAAAUACAUUUUUGUUGUUACUAAAGGACACAAAUUGGGGAACCAAAAUAAAAUAGAUAAAGAAACCUGUCAGCAGAAACAGGUAAAAUUAGCAAUAAAGAGGCCACAUCUAAACUCAGAGACACAGACAGGAAUAAAAUUGGUGGGGGUGUGCCAGGUACGAAUGUCAUGCCAAGCAAAGGCUCUUUUCGACCAGACCCACACAUCCAAAUACUUCAAACUAAAAUUGGUGGGGUGUGCCAGGUCCAGGCAGUAGUGCAACACCAAGACGACACUCAAGAGCCCCAAUAGCAAGCUAUUGUGUUGGACUCUCCCCCUUAAAUAAUUAAUUUAAUAUCGUGUGAGCCAAUGGCCCACAUAUCAGAUAUUAAACUGAUAAGAACAGAUACUACACUUGAUCUUAGCCAAA
Molecule: long non-coding RNA, 1100 nt
Filed under: Olea europaea subsp. europaea
Lineage: Eukaryota; Viridiplantae; Streptophyta; Magnoliopsida; Lamiales; Oleaceae
Source: RNAcentral